GGCAACAAGAUCACAGACAGGAAUUGUGCUCAUGUACAUAAGUCUUGGUUUAUUAGAUCAUACGCAUCAAAUGGAUAACUGUGGAAAAUCUAGAGCUAAUACAUGCCGCGAAACUUCGACUUGCGAAGGAGUGCUUUUAUUAGAUCAAAGCCAAUGGCCCACUUGUGGGUCUGAAACUGUGCUGAUUCUGAGUAAAGUAAGCUGAUUGCAUCGCCAUUGAGUAGGUGACGUAUCUUUCAAGUGUCUUCCCUAUCAACUUUCGUUGGUACUUUAUAUGACUACCAUGGUCGUAACGGGUGACGGGGAAUCAGGGUUCGAUUCCGGAGAGAGAGCAUGAGAAACGGCUGUCACAUCCAAGGAAGGCAGCAGGCGCGCAAAUUACCCAAUCCUAGAUCGGGGAGGUAGUGACGAAAAAUAACGAUGCCGUGAUCUUAGGAUUCGGCAAUUGGAAUGAGAACAAUCAAAAUCCUUUAUCGAGGAUCAAUUGGAGGGCAAGUUCUGGUGCCAGCAGCCGCGGUAAUUCCAGCUCGAAUAGCGUAUAUUAAAUUUGCUGCGGUUAAAAAGCUCGUAGUUGGGUGUCAGGAGAUGAACUUGGGGCUACCAUACUUGUGUAGUAUUACCCGAGAUUCGCUCCUUUAAUUACCACUCCUAUGUGGACGCACUUUACUGUGUGCUGCGUAUGGAUGGUAUGAUACUACUUUGAGAAAAUUAGCGUGCUCAACGCAGGCGAGUCGCUUGCAUACUGUUGCAUGGAAAUAAUGAGAAAGGACCUCGGGUUCUGUUUCGUUGGUUUCCCGGAAAGCUGAGGUAAUGAUUGAUAGGGACAAACGGGGGGCAUUUCGUAUUUGUGGUGUUUGAGGUGAAAUUUCUGUGAUCACCGCAAGACGAAACAAACUGCGAAAAGCCAUUUUUGGCCCAAAGAAAUGG
Molecule: ribosomal RNA, 927 nt
Filed under: Pallisentis sp. 12 NKG-2016
Lineage: Eukaryota; Metazoa; Acanthocephala; Eoacanthocephala; Gyracanthocephala; Quadrigyridae
Description: bacterial SSU rRNA
Rfam family: Eukaryotic small subunit ribosomal RNA
Source: RNAcentral